CUGCAGUCAUUUAAACAGAACGUCCCUCUCCUGGUGGGGAUGUGGAGUGCAAGGGCUGCAAACAGCCACCUCCUUGAGUCUUAUAUGGGUUGCCCUGAGGGACUGUGAAGACAAUU
RNAcentral lists this small nucleolar RNA (116 nucleotides) under Meriones unguiculatus (Mongolian gerbil). RNAcentral's name for it is "Small nucleolar RNA SNORA70 (ENSMUGG00000015455.1)". It matches the Rfam family "Small nucleolar RNA SNORA70". From Rfam's summary of the family: snoRNA U70 seems to be exclusive to mammals and is a member of the H/ACA class of snoRNA which contain H (ANANNA) and ACA box motifs. H/ACA box snoRNAs are involved in the conversion of uridines to pseudouridines (5-ribosyluracil) a constituent of structural RNAs (transfer, ribosomal, small nuclear, and small nucleolar). Lineage: Eukaryota; Metazoa; Chordata; Mammalia; Rodentia; Muridae. The record is from RNAcentral.